AAUCCGUCGAGCUAAGCUGAGGUGUGAUGGGGAGCCAUUUAUGGCGAAGUAUCUGAUUCCACACUGCCAAGAAAAGCCUCUAUCGAGUGAAUAGGUGCCCGUACCGCAAACCGACACAGGUAGGUGAGGAGAGAAUCCUAAGGCCAUCGGAAGAAUUGCUGUUAAGGAACUCGGCAAAUUGACCCCGUAACUUCGGGAGAAGGGGUGCCUACGAAAGUAGGCCGCAGAGAAUAGGCCCAAGCAACUGUUUAGCAAAAACACAGGUCUCUGCUAAAGCGAAAGCUGAUGUAUAGGGGCUGACGCCUGCCCGGUGCUGGAAGGUUAAGGGGAACACUUAGCGCAAGCGAAGGUGUGAACUUAAGCCCCAGUAAACGGCGGCCGUAACUAUAACGGUCCUAAGGUAGCGAAAUUCCUUGUCGGGUAAGUUCCGACCCGCACGAAUGGCGUAAUGAUUUGGGCACUGUCUCAACAGCAAAUCCGGCGAAAUUGUAGUGCAAGUGAAGAUGCUUGCUACCCGCGAUUGGACGGAAAGAC
Molecule: ribosomal RNA, 534 nt
Filed under: Clostridium botulinum
Lineage: Bacteria; Bacillati; Bacillota; Clostridia; Eubacteriales; Clostridiaceae
Description: partial 23S ribosomal RNA
Rfam family: Bacterial large subunit ribosomal RNA
Source: RNAcentral